This 68-nucleotide non-coding RNA is filed under the name Leptospirillum sp. Its description in RNAcentral is "Fluoride sequence". It matches the Rfam family "Fluoride riboswitch aptamer (crcB RNA motif)". The record is from RNAcentral. RNAcentral also lists the same sequence under 1 other name. Lineage: Bacteria; Pseudomonadati; Nitrospirota; Nitrospiria; Nitrospirales; Nitrospiraceae.
AUUCCUGGCGGCGAUGGGGUUCGCCUUUCCCUGUUCCUGACGGACAGGGUGAUGACUCCUACCAUGGG